GACGAACGCUGGCGGCGUGCUUAACACAUGCAAGUCGAACGGAAAGGCCCUGCUUUUGUGGGGUGCUCGAGUGGCGAACGGGUGAGUAACACGUGAGUAACCUGCCCUUGACUUUGGGAUAACUUCAGGAAACUGGGGCUAAUACCGGAUAGGAUCUCCUGCUGCAUGGUGGGGGUUGGAAAGUUUCGGCGGUUGGGGAUGGACUCGCGGCUUAUCAGCUUGUUGGUGGGGUAGUGGCUUACCAAGGCUUGGACGGGUAGCCGGACUGAGAGGGUGACCGGCCACAUUGGGACUGAGGUACGGCCCAGACUCCUACGGGAGGCAGCAGUGGGAAAUAUUGCACAAUGGGCGGAAGCCUAAUGCAGCAACGCCGCGUGCGGGAUGACGGCCUUCGGGUUGUAAACCGCUUUCGGCUGUGACGAAGCGUGAGUGACGGUAAUGGGUAAAGAAGCACCGGCUAACUACGUG
Molecule: ribosomal RNA, 468 nt
Filed under: uncultured bacterium
Lineage: Bacteria
Description: partial 16S ribosomal RNA
Rfam family: Bacterial small subunit ribosomal RNA
Source: RNAcentral